GGGGUCAUGGCGCAGUUGGUAGCGCGUUUGAAUGGCAUUCAAAAGGUCAGGGGUUCGAAUCCCCUUGGCUCCACCA
This 76-nucleotide transfer RNA is filed under the name Firmicutes bacterium CAG:475. Its description in RNAcentral is "transfer RNA-Ala(GGC)". It matches the Rfam family "tRNA". Rfam says of the family: Transfer RNA (tRNA) molecules are approximately 80 nucleotides in length. Lineage: Bacteria; Bacillati; Bacillota. The record is from RNAcentral. RNAcentral also lists the same sequence under 4 other names.